AUUGAACGCUGGCGGCAGGCUUAACACAUGCAAGUCGAGCGGGGGAAGGUAGCUUGCUACCGGACCUAGCGGCGGACGGGUGAGUAAUGCUUAGGAAUCUGCCUAUUAGUGGGGGACAACAUCUCGAAAGGGAUGCUAAUACCGCAUACGUCCUACGGGAGAAAGCAGGGGAUCUUCGGACCCUGCGCUAAUAGAUGAGCCUAGUCAGAUUAGCUAGUUGGUGGGGUAAAGGCCUACCAAGGCGACGAUCUGUAGCGGGUCUGAGAGGAUGAUCCGCCACACUGGGGCUGAGAGACGGCCCAGACUCCUACGGGAGGCAGCAGUGGGGAAUAUUGGACAAUGGGGGGAACCCUGAUCCAGCCAUGCCGCGUGUGUGAAGAAGGCCUUAUGGUUGUAAAGCACUUUAAGCGAGGAGGAGGCUACUUUAGUUAAUACCUAGAGAUAGUGGACGUUACUCGCAGAAUAAGCACCGGCUAACUCUGUGCCAGCAGCCGCGGUAA
Molecule: ribosomal RNA, 500 nt
Filed under: uncultured bacterium
Lineage: Bacteria
Description: partial 16S ribosomal RNA
Rfam family: Bacterial small subunit ribosomal RNA
Source: RNAcentral